AGUGAACGCUGGCGGUAGGCCUAACACAUGCAAGUCGAACGGCAGCACAGUAAGAGCUUGCUCUUACGGGUGGCGAGUGGCGGACGGGUGAGGAAUACAUCGGAAUCUACUUUUUCGUGGGGGAUAACGUAGGGAAACUUACGCUAAUACCGCAUACGACCUACGGGUGAAAGCAGGGGAUCUUCGGACCUUGCGCGAUUGAAUGAGCCGAUGUCGGAUUAGCUAGUUGGCGGGGUAAAGGCCCACCAAGGCGACGAUCCGUAGCUGGUCUGAGAGGAUGAUCAGGCACACUGGAACUGAGACACGGUCCAGACUCCUACGGAAGGCAGCAGUGGGGAAUAUUGGACAAUGGGCGCAAGCCUGAUCCAGCCAUACCGCGUGGGUGAAGAAGACCUUCGGGUUGUAAAGCCCUUUUGUUGGGAAAGAAAAGCAGCAGGUUAAUACCCCGCUGUUCUGACGGUACCCAAAGAAUAAGCACCGGCUAACUUCGUG
Molecule: ribosomal RNA, 492 nt
Filed under: uncultured bacterium
Lineage: Bacteria
Description: partial 16S ribosomal RNA
Rfam family: Bacterial small subunit ribosomal RNA
Source: RNAcentral